This 2361-nucleotide ribosomal RNA is filed under the name Cothurnia oblonga. Its description in RNAcentral is "SSU rRNA". The stretch from base 1 to 1528 matches the Rfam family "Eukaryotic small subunit ribosomal RNA", at positions 203 to 1831 of the family's 1831-position model. Lineage: Eukaryota; Ciliophora; Oligohymenophorea; Sessilida; Vaginicolidae. The record is from RNAcentral.
AUUAUUAGAUAUUAAACCCUUUCCUUCGGGAUUGUGAUGAAUCAUAGUAAUCGAACGAAUCGCAGCAUGCUGCGAUAAAUCAUUCAAGUUUCUGCCCUAUCAGCUUUGGAUGGUAGUGUAUUGGACUACCAUGGCAAUCACGGGUAACGGAGAAUUAGGGUUCGAUUCCGGAGAGGGAGCCUGAGAAACGGCUACCACAUCUACGGAAGGCAGCAGGCGCGAAAAUUGCCCAAUCCUGACUCAGGGAGGCAGUGACAAGAAAUAACUACCCUAGGAUUUCUUAGGAGUGUAAUGAGGAUAAUUUACAAACCUUACCGAAAGCAAUUGGAGGGCAAGUCUUGGUGCCAGCAGCCGCGGUAAUUCCAGCUCCAAUAGCGUAUAUUAAAGUUGUUGCAGUUAAAAAGCUCGUAGUUGAAAUUCUGGUUGCUAAGGCUUCUAGUCCUCGGACGGAAGUGCUUACAGCCAUCCGCUUGUAAAUAUGGAUUCGCUCUUCACCGGGCGGCUAUAUGAGCAAGCAUUUUACCUUGAGAAAAACAGAGUGUUCCAGGCAGGUUUGUCCGGAAUGCAUUAGCAUGGAAUAAUAGAAUAUGACUGAGGUCUAUUUAUUGGUUUAGGGCCACAGUAAUGAUUAAUAGGAACAGUCGGGGGCAUUGGUACUUGACAGCUAGAGGUGAAAUUCUUGGAUUUGUCAAAGACUAACUGAUGCGAAAGCGUUUGUCAAGGAUGUUUUCAUUAAUCAAGAACGAAAGUUAGGGGAUCAAAGACGAUCAGAUACCGUCCUAGUCUUAACUAUAAACUAUACCGACUCGGAUUCAGAUGAAUCGUAAAGUUCAUUUGGGACCGUAGGAGAAAUCAAAGUCUUUGGGUUCUGGGGGGAGUAUGGUCGCAAGGCUGAAACUUAAAGGAAUUGACGGUUUUGCACCACCAUGGAGUGGAGCCUGCGGCUUAAUUUGACUCAACACUGGGAAACUCAUCAGGGCAAGAAGAUUGUAGGAUUGACAGAUUGAGAGUUCUUUCUUGAUUGGUCUAGUGGUGGUGCAUGGCCGUUCUUAGUUGGUGGAGUGAUUUGUCUGGUUAAUUCCGUUAACGAACGAGACCUUAACCUACUAACUAGUACCAGUAUUUCAAAUGCUGGUUACUUCUUAGAGGGACUAUGUGUUGUAAACACAUGGAAGUUUGAGGCAAUAACAGGUCUGUGAUGCCCUUAGAUGUCCUGAGCCGCACGCGUGCUACAAUGACUUAUUCAACGAGUAUUUCCUGAUCCGACAGGAUUUGGGUAAUCUUUUUAGUGUAAGUCGUGUUAGGGAUAGAUCUUUGUAAUUAUGGAUCUUGAACGAGGAAUUCCUAGUAAGCGCAUGUCAUCAGCAUGUGCUGAUUACGUCCCUGCAAAAUGUACACACCGCCCGUCGCUAUUGCCGAUUGAGUGUUCAGGUGAACCUUCUUGAUUGUUGCAAAACGAAAAAUUAAGUAAACCUUAGCACUUAGAGGGAAUAAAAGUCGUAACAAGGUUUCCGUAGAAAGAACAUUUAAUAAUCAAAUAAUUUUUCUGUAUGAAUCAAUCAGCUUUGGGGUUUAUAGGUUUAUACUGUUUGCAUUAAGGUUAAUGCGGACAAACGUAUUUCUCCUUUACUCCUAAGUAAUCCAUACAGCACCAUCGAGUUUUGUUUACUCUUUCUGAUUCAAAUACAAGAUGGUUCGGAUUCACGCAGCCUGGGUUAUGACAAAGAUGAGAUACUUGCUAUUUUUAAGUAGGCUCUCUCUUAAAAUUAACACACGCUGACACAACAUGGCAGUAAUACUUGACUUUCAAAUAUCUUAUCUGAGUAUAGCCAGGAGUUUUUGUUGGUGCAUAAUUUGUAAUCCAGCAACAAUUCGGCUAUUGGAUAUGUAUGUGUUUCAAGAUUACUUUCCAUAUUUACAAAUAAGGUACUUGACCUUUUUUGUUAUCCAUAAAAUUAUUGAUUAUUAAAAUUAUUAGUGAUUCUUCUACAGGUUUGCCGCCACGAAAGCCUUUGCAGCCAGUAACGGUUCAGUCAGCGACUUAAAUUAAAUAGACUGAUUAAAUGCAAGUUGGGUUUUCUCAUUAUAGAAAAACCAGCGAUCUCUUCAAACUGCGGGAAAAUCCUUAGAGCUGUUGACUACCGCGGCAAACUGGUGACAGUUUGUGCAGCAGUUAGGGUAGCUCCCUAAUGGAUGGUAAAAAGGUCAACAGAUUGGACAAUCCGCCACCAAGCCUCUUUAUUUCUAUAAAGAGGAAGGCUCACAGACUGUAAGGAGAGAGGUCUUCUAGGAAAGGCUUAACAGACAGUCGGUCCCUGAGAGAAAUCUCAGUUCGAUGUGGAGGAAUCUACGAGAGGAAAU